Molecule: small nucleolar RNA, 102 nt
Organism: Heterocephalus glaber (naked mole-rat)
Lineage: Eukaryota; Metazoa; Chordata; Mammalia; Rodentia; Bathyergidae
Source: Ensembl
AUCUUUCAGUUCAUGAGCAUAAUGAUUAGGUGUUUAUGCUGUGCGCAUGAGAUGUGGCUCCCUCAAACCUUGAUAUGAUGUCAGUGUAUUACCCAUCUGACA